GAAUUAUGGUCAUCUGGGUCUAAAAGACAUCCACUUCUUUGUGUACUCACAGAAUGACAAAAUAACUUAUACCUGACCAAGAUGGCUGCCAUUUCCAGCACUUUCUAGAGUUAUGAAGGUUUAUGACAGGCCACUCUCUGUUUCUAGGUUAUUGUAUCUCCAUGUGUGUACUGAUUUGAUUGCUGGUUCUUCUUCACAGGUUGCCUAACAUUGGCAACACUUGCUUCCUAAAUGCCACCCUGCAGUGCCUCCUGGUCCUGCCUUCCUUCUCAAAGGAAAUCCUACGCCAGGAACAACUCUGGAACUCCUCCCCCUUCUCCAACCUGCUCAGUGGCGCAAACCAGGCCUCAAAAGCAGACCUCAUGUGGAAGGUCAAGUACUCCUUGUCGGGAUAUGAUUUGAAGUAUCUGGGGGACACGCAACAGGACGCACACGAGUUACUUGUGAAUAUGCUGUGCUGUGCCAGCUGAAGGAGGAGGGAAUGAUACUGAAGACACUCGGGGUGAACUAUACCUGCCCUGUUUCCCAGCUGGAGUUCCAGCUUGUCUCAGUGCGCACAUGUACCAGGGCGAAAAGGUUGAAUGAAUUCACAUGUGCGGGCUGCAAAGGCCUCUACAGCUCAAAAGUGGAGCAGUUCCACACACUGCCUCUUGUGCUGGUUCUGCACCUGAAGAGGUUCGGAGGACCUGGGGGGUUGGAGAAGCUGGAGACUCCUCUUUUGUUUCCUUAGAUAUUUAUAGACCCAUGAAUUAUGGUCAUCUGGGUCUAAAAGACAUCCACUUCUUUGUGUACUCACAGAAUGACAAAAUAACUUAUACCUGACCAAGAUGGCUGCCAUUUCCAGCACUUUCUAGAGUUAUGAAGGUUUAUGACAGGCCACUCUCUGUUUCUAGGUUAUUGUAUCUCCAUGUGUGUACUGAUUUGAUUGCUGGUUCUUCUUCACAGGUUGCCUAACAUUGGCAACACUUGCUUCCUAAAUGCCACCCUGCAGUGCCUCCUGGUCCUGCCUUC
Molecule: long non-coding RNA, 1011 nt
Organism: Oncorhynchus gorbuscha (pink salmon)
Lineage: Eukaryota; Metazoa; Chordata; Actinopteri; Salmoniformes; Salmonidae
Exons: 5
Source: RefSeq, a predicted model, not a curated record